RNAcentral lists this long non-coding RNA (388 nucleotides) under Brassica napus (rape). RNAcentral describes it as "long non-coding RNA (BNAP_LNC015717)". The record is from RNAcentral. Lineage: Eukaryota; Viridiplantae; Streptophyta; Magnoliopsida; Brassicales; Brassicaceae.
GAGUAGGAGCCAUUGAGCCAAAGGACGAUGCUUGUCCAAUUCAUUUAUACCCAAAAGAUUAUCAAAAAUGAGAUUUGUACACAUAUAAGCAGAUAAGCUCUUGGGGGGGUGGGGGAUAUUCAACUUCAACAAUGGAAGAUAGCACAACUUUGCCUUACCAGUUCACAGACGAUGAGCAGAGGUUUGGUGUUGUUGGCUUCAACUUUUACAUGCGCGACCUAGACACUGGAUAAGCUCUUCGUCCAGUCAUCCAUCUCUUUUGGCUAUCCCAUAACACCAGAAAUCCAUCAUAUAACUUCAUUUGUUACUAGGUCACAGAACCCCUUUAAGGUGAACCCAAAUUGAUAUAGCUUCAAGAGAAGAAGUGUUUGCAACCUCUCCAUCAAAC